UCUUUGACCUCGGAUCAGGUAGGGAUACCCGCUGAACUUAAGCAUAUCAAUAAGCGGAGGAAAAGAAACCAACAGGGAUUGCCCUAGUAACGGCGAGUGAAGCGGCAACAGCUCAAAUUUGAAAUCUGGCUCUCUUUGGGAGUCCGAGUUGUAAUUUGCAGAGGAUGCUUUGGCAUUGGCGGCGGUCUAAGUUCCUUGGAACAGGACAUCACAGAGGGUGAGAAUCCCGUACGUGGUCGCCUGCCUUUGCCGUGUAAAGCUCCUUCGACGAGUCGAGUUGUUUGGGAAUGCAGCUCUAAAUGGGAGGUAAAUUUCUUCUAAAGCUAAAUACUGGCCAGAGACCGAUAGCGCACAAGUAGAGUGAUCGAAAGAUGAAAAGUACUUUGGAAAGAGAGUCAAAAAGCACGUGAAAUUGUUGAAAGGGAAGCGCUUGCAGCCAGACUUGCCCGCAGUUGCUCACCUAGGCUUUGGCCUGGGGCACUCUUCUGCGGGCAGGCCAGCAUCAGUUUGGGCGGUUGGAUAAAGGCCUCUGUCACGUAUCUCCCUUCGGGGAGACCUUAUAGGGGAGGCGUAAUGCAACCAGCCCGGACUGAGGUCCGCGCAUCUGCUAGGAUGCUGGCGUAAUGGCUGUAAGCGGCCCGUCUUGAAACACGGACCAAGGAGUCUAACAUCUAUGCGAGUGUUUGGGUGUCAAGCCCGAGCGCGCAAUGAAAGUGAACGGAGGUGGGGACCCUUUGGGUGCACCAUCGACCGAUCCUGAUGUCUUCGGAUGGAUUUGAGUAAGAGCAUAGCUGUUGGGACCCGAAAGAUGGUGAACUAUGCUUGAAUAGGGUGAAGCCAGAGGAAACUCUGGUGGGGGCUCGCAGCGGUUCUGACGUGCAAAUCGAUCGUCAAAUUUGGGCAUAGGGGCGAAAGACUAAUCGAACCAUCUAGUAGCUGGUUCCUGCCGAAGUUUCCCUCAGGAUAGCAGU
This 971-nucleotide ribosomal RNA is filed under the name uncultured Ascomycota. RNAcentral's name for it is "eukaryotic LSU rRNA". It matches the Rfam family "Eukaryotic large subunit ribosomal RNA", at positions 1 to 985 of the family's 3401-position model. The record is from RNAcentral. Lineage: Eukaryota; Fungi; Ascomycota.